GAUGAAGAACGUAGCGAAAUGCGAUCAGUAGUGUGAAUUGCAGAAUUCAGUGAAUCAUCGAAUCUUUGAACGCACAUUGCGCCCUUUGGUAUUCCUUAGGGCAUGCCUGUUCGAGCGUCAUUUAAACCUUCAAGCUAAGCUUGGUGUUGGGUGACUGUCCGCUUCACGGCGGACUCGCCUCAAAAUUAUUGGCGGCCGGUACAUUGGCUUCGAGCGCAGCAGAAACGCGAACUCGGGCCCGUCGUAUUGGCUCCCAGAAGCUAUCUUCACAAUUUUGACCUCGGAUCAGGUAGGGAUACCCGCUGAACUUAAGCAUAUCAAUAAGCGGAGGA
This 332-nucleotide unclassified non-coding RNA is filed under the name soil metagenome. Its description in RNAcentral is "partial contains 5.8S ribosomal RNA, internal transcribed spacer 2, and large subunit ribosomal RNA". The stretch from base 1 to 120 matches the Rfam family "5.8S ribosomal RNA", at positions 35 to 154 of the family's 154-position model. The record is from RNAcentral.